GAAUAAAGAAAAGUAACGGUGUC
This 23-nucleotide non-coding RNA is filed under the name Rattus norvegicus (Norway rat). Lineage: Eukaryota; Metazoa; Chordata; Mammalia; Rodentia; Muridae. The record is from RNAcentral.